RNAcentral lists this ribosomal RNA (433 nucleotides) under uncultured bacterium. RNAcentral's name for it is "partial 16S ribosomal RNA". It matches the Rfam family "Bacterial small subunit ribosomal RNA", at positions 29 to 507 of the family's 1533-position model. The record is from RNAcentral.
AACGAACGCUGGCGGCAUGCCUAACACAUGCAAGUCGAACGAGACCUUCGGGUCUAGUGGCGCACGGGUGCGUAACGCGUGGGAACCUGCCCUUAGGUUCGGAAUAACUCCCCGAAAGGGGUGCUAAUACCGGAUAAUGUCUUCGGACCAAAGAUUUAUCGCAGUUGGAUGGGCCCGCGUUGGAUUAGCUAGGUGGUAGGGUAAAAGCCUACCAAGGCGACGAUCCAUAGCUGGUCUGAGAGGAUGAUCAGCCACACUGGGACUGAGACACGGCCCAGACUCCUACGGGAGGCAGCAGUGGGGAAUAUUGGACAAUGGGCGAAAGCAUGAUCCAGCAAUGCCGCGUGAGUGAUGAAGGCCUUAGGGUUGUAAAGCUCUUUUACCCGGGAUGAUAAUGACAGUACCGUGAGAAUAAGCUCCGGCUAACUCCGUG